Molecule: non-coding RNA, 3676 nt
Organism: Myodes glareolus (Bank vole)
Lineage: Eukaryota; Metazoa; Chordata; Mammalia; Rodentia; Cricetidae
Source: RefSeq, a predicted model, not a curated record
UUCAAUUCCACCCUACUUUACCAGGAAAAAGACACAUUCACCAGUCACUCUGAGCUUUCUGCCUGGCACUUUCAGGAUAUCUGUGAGAUAUGACCAUCCAAAGUCCAGGCGCCCUGCUGUUUAAUAGAAAGGCUCUUCCUUUGAUUUGUUAUGUCUGAGAAGGUUUAGACUGUGUGAGGUCUUACCAGCUCUGCAGUUACACACUUGGCUUCCAGUGUGGCUGUGGCAACCUUAUAGCUCCGUUUCAGCCUCACUGACCAUCUGGAGAGCUUAUGGAUGAAGCCCAGCGAGUCCUGACCCUCAGGUCUGGCCCUUCUCCCCUCAUUCCUCUUCUUGUGCACAGCCAGUCAGCAUUCUGCCUGCGGAUCUCCUGGCCCAGGUGACUGACUGCACCACUACAUAACGAAGAUUUGCUUCGCCCCCAGUCUCCAGUAACACAUUUCUCACUUUCUUUCCAAUUCUUGCUCCUGGACUCUAAAAGGUCCAUACUGCCAAGUCCAUGCUCCGGGCACAGAGGCUUGAAAGUCCAGCAUUUCUCAUUCUGCAGGCAGUCGACAGUAAUACCCGCAUCUAAAAUUUUUGUGCCUGAAUUUCCAAGAGAAGUUCUCAGAACCGCAGAAGUGUGGGAUGCUCCGCAGCCCAGAGUCCUCCUUACCUCUCCCAGCAGGAAGGACAAGAAAAAUGAUAGAAAUGUCAGCAAUAACCAGUGUUUCUGGUUGGAAGCACACAGAAGAGCAGUCUCACUUGCUAAGAGAGUGAAAGAAAGUCACGAGAGCACCAGGAGGUAGGUGGUCAGACAGCUUCGGCCCCUGGGCAUUGUGCUCACUCCAGAUAGGGCGCCUCACUUCUAGAAGAACAAAUCACAACAAAGCUGCUCCAUAAUCGAUUACCGACCUGUUAACUGAAAGUCAGCAUGCUUUGCUAGAGUGUUUCUCCUCACGCUCAUGUGUCAGUGAAUUGCCAGCCACAGUCACAGGCUUGACUUUAAAACAGAUUCAAAGAAAAUUUCACAUGCUUGCAUAGCAAAGAAAUACACCUACAACGGCUGCUCCCAGAUGGGCCCAUGGCUAUGCAGGGAGGAAUUCCUGUCCUCCUAGAAUGGCUGCUUCCAGAUGGGCCCAGGGCUAUGACCAGGAAUGCCUGUCCUUCCUCCCCUCAUGGCAGAAGGAAGGAAGCAAUCAUGUGAGUGUCCAACUUGCAAGGGAAAGCACAAGAACAGUUUGUGGGUGCGUUUGUAGAGCACAGUGGGUACCCUUCUCUUCUGCUAUGUGCAGUCCCUCAGCAGGCAGCCGGGCAGCUCCCAAGUCUCCUCUCCUUGCUUUAAGCAUUAACCCAUUUCUCAAAGUCUUACGGGAUUUUGUGAAUCUUUGAUUGACUGUUCUGUUACUGAGAACAUUGCCAAGGCAAGAAUCCUUUAGCUUACCCAUGUUGUCAGUAGUCUGCAGGAAGCCUUAAUAGGUAAGAGUGGAUUUGGCUCUGCGUUACCCAGAGUUCUGGUCUUUGCUUGACUCCGAAUGGGUGCUUUCAUUGUCUUCCCAUUCUCGCUACAAACACACUCAUUUGCCUCCCAAUGGUGUUAUUUCUGCUCCCUUGAUUUUGAUUUUGCUCUAAAUGGGUUUCUCUUUGACAGCAAUAGAGUGAAAUGUCUUGAAAGGGAAAUGUCUUUGUGUGAUAGUUUUGAAAUACAGUGCCUGCCAGACUGGAUUGAUUGGAGCGCUGAAUGCAGCAGUGUUGAUAUUAAGUGAAGGAUUAUAUUCCAAAAACCUCUGAAAUCAUACAUGACUCACAGUCUGUAUUUCAGGAUGUCAGGUGGGGGAUCAUGAUAUGAAAAUGAAAUGCUAACCAAAAAUAAAAGUAACCCGGGAGGUGCUGCACACCCAUAAUCCCAGCAGUCGAGAGAUGAAAGCGGGAAGAUCCAGAGUUCUGCUGCAUGUGAGUUAGAGGCCAGUCCAGGGCAAGCGAGGUCGUGCCUCAAGAAGAGCACUCGUGGGCAAGCCAGUGGCUCUCAGGCUUCAUUCCUCAAAGCCCAUUGGGAAUGGCUGUCAUUGUCACUCCAAGCACACUGUGUUCCCAGUAAAGUUUUUCUGAUCUCUUCUUGAUUUGGACUUUGCCUCUGGGAGCAGCGGAGUGCAGUGUCUUAAGCAUCCAGGGGUCAGGUGCCGAGGACCAAUGGUGCCGAGAAGACUUCAGCUUGUUGGUUCUGUUGAUGGAUCUCAGACUUUCUUGUGCCUGGCAACUGCUGGUAAAGGGCACGUUGGAAAACACCCUCUGCUCACAGAGAGAGCAACAGGAGUGUGCAGUGUGGAAAAGAACCAUCCCUUUCCAACUGAGUGCGAGUGUGAGGGUGUGGGCCACGUAAGAUGAGACUGCGAGCUUGUCUUAAAGUGCUUUACCUCAAAAAUCACUCCACAGUUUAUGUGCACAGACUUUCCCAAACACAUCCCAAACGGCAAUUCUGACUGGAUCUGUGCAUGCUUUUCUUCCAUGUCAUCGAAUUCCCUUAUUUAGGUUUUAAAGUCCUCUAAAUGCCCAUUAAGAGCUUGGUUGCUAGUGCUGUUGGGACUUUUUGAAGUUUUUGGCCACCACGAUGUUGUGCUUCCGUGCACCCCGAGUAAUGACCCCAACUGAUCCCAAUCUGAAGGCUCUGACCUGUGGGCCUAAAUCAAUCUCAUCUUAGGUGGGCUCUCCCAGGUGAUUGUCACAGUGCUACAAACCUAGUACGUCCUCUCCUGGUCUCUUCCAGAGGAGGAACUCCUGCUAAAUAAAGUACCAUGAACUGGGGGCCAAAAACCGAUGUCACCAAGAAACUCAUGGCACCAAAUGUACUCUAGCAGCCUCAGGCACUGGGAAACUGUGUGCCCUCCACAGGCCUAAAGUACGUUGCCUAAUUUACUUUACUUUACUUUACUAAAUUUAAUUUACUAAAGACUGGAAUGUUUAUUAAUACAUUAAAUAUUCUCUAAAAUCACUUCAGUAAAGUUUGGAGAGGUGGCUUAGUCAGUAAAUGCUUGCUACGUAUCUAUGAUGGCCUGGGUUAGAUUCCCAGCACUCAAACAGAAGUCAGAUCAAGCACAGGCCUGUAAUUCCAGCACUGAGGAGGCAGAAACAGGUGCAUCCCAGGGACUUGUUAACCAGCCUAGCUAGGGAAAUUGGUAAGCUCCAGAUUCAGUGAGAGACUCUCCAGAAAAAUAAGGUUGACAGCAAUUUAGGAAGCCAUCAAGAGUGGCCUCUGGCCUCUACACAACUGAACGUGUUUGCUUCCCUUCUAGCGUGUAUAUACACAGACACUUAAAUUCAAUAUUGGUACGUAUUCACUGAACAAAGUUGUUUAUACGGAAUGUUUGACUGGGCGGAAGCUUCUCUUUAUCACUGUUACUGCUAGAAUCUUCUUCGGCUGAGUUGGGUUCAGAGGUGUGAAAUUAUGGAAUUGGGCAGCUAAACUUCCAUUUCGUCUCUUUGUGCCUGCUGCUUUCUUUACAUGGUGGCAGAGGAGCCCCUUAGUGGGGAGAAGAAGAGAAAAUACACUUCUACAACCCAGUGAGGACUAAGAAUGAAGUAGCAUUUCUGAUGAAUUUGUCUUGAUCCCAGGAAACAGGAAUGAGAUCUCAACAGCAAAGGGGAAUGUAUCUUAAUUAUCUAUUGACUAAUAAAUCCAAGAUGUAUUAUUUUAAAACAA